Molecule: ribosomal RNA, 445 nt
Filed under: uncultured bacterium
Lineage: Bacteria
Description: bacterial SSU rRNA
Rfam family: Bacterial small subunit ribosomal RNA
Source: RNAcentral
GUGAGGAAUAUUGCGCAAUGGAGGCAACUCUGACGCAGCCAUGCCGCGUGCAGGAAGAAGGCGCUACGCGUUGUAAACUGCUUUUAACCGGGAAGAAACCCCAGGACGUGUCCUGGGUUGACGGUACCGGUGGAAUAAGCACCGGCUAACUUCGUGCCAGCAGCCGCGGUAAUACGAAGGGUGCAAGCGUUAUCCGGAUUCAUUGGGUUUAAAGGGUGCGUAGGCGGAGCGUUAAGUCAGUGGUGAAAUCCUGCAGCUUAACUGUAGACUUGCCAUUGAUACUGGCGCUCUUGAGUGCGCUUGAAGUGGGCGGAAUGUGCCGUGUAGCGGUGAAAUGCUUAGAUAUGGCACAGAACACCAAUUGCGAAGGCAGCUCACUAAGGCGAUACUGACGCUGAGGCACGAAAGCGUGGGGAUCGAACAGGAUUAGAUACCCGAGUAGUCC